Molecule: long non-coding RNA, 2631 nt
Filed under: Nicotiana tabacum (common tobacco)
Lineage: Eukaryota; Viridiplantae; Streptophyta; Magnoliopsida; Solanales; Solanaceae
Description: long non-coding RNA (NTAB_LNC002146)
Source: RNAcentral
UUUUGGACUUGCUUCAUAUAUUUUGUUGCUGGUAAAAACUGUCAGAAUGUCAAACUUUAGACACACUACAAUCGUAUUUCAUAAUACAUGAUUCGUAUCAACAAUAAAGAGAAAAUUAACUGGAAUAAAAAAAAAGAAUGAACAUUUACUAGUGUUCCGAAGAACAGCCAUUAAACUUUGCUUAAGUUUUGCUAAUAUCCAUUUCCACCACCAUGAUACGAAAAGAAGUUAUACUAGACAACCUCACCCCAUCUCAAUCAAAUGGAAACUUGUCCAUAUGCUUUCCUCGAAAAAUCAGAUUGAGGAACCAAAUUUUGUUAACAUGGGAUCAUCAAAGAGAGAAAUAUAGAGCUGUGAGCAUAAGAAGUGGCAUUAUUGCAGCCAAUUUAAAUUACGAUUCUCUUGUAUAAAGGCAUGAAAUACAUUCAUUAAGGUCUUUUUCACAACUAAACAUGCUCCUUAACAGAAUUUGAGAGAGACCAAAUAAAUGAGUUUUAACAGAAAUUAAGCCACUACCGUCUGCUUGGUCCAAGAAGCUUUUGCUAUCAGAAACUCCAUAUCUUGUUGAUUGGUAACGCAUAUAGCUACUAAGACACUCCAUAGUUCCAAAACCAAGAUAAAUUAUCAUAUUAUUUCUCACCGGUCAUUUUCCUAGACAGUCUUCUCACCAGAACUAAGAUCAAUUCAUUUUCUAAGAUGCCCUGAAUUUCUGAGAUAAUUAAUUUGAUAAUUUAUUUUUUUAGCCUAAAGUACAAAAGAAACUUAAGACCUCCUUAUAAAGAAAGUUACAUAGUGGCUGAUGACAAUCCAAAUUACCUUUUCAAUUCUCAGUUAUACUGUAAGACCUCAAAUUAAUUAUAAAAAAUAAAAAAUAAACCAAUACAUUGGCAGAGAACUAAUGUCAAAGCAACUUAUUUCAAGCAUUAGUAUCACCUGUUUAACUCGACGUCAGAUAAAAGAUUUCACUCAAAAUAGCAUAUAUCAAAUAAGAAAAAAAAUUAAAAUACCAUAUUAGUAUUCUGUUGCUUCUCACCUGUUCCAAAUUAAUAUUGUUUAAUCUCUGCAUACCCUUCUGCCCAUAAACCUCUCAUUACUUCUGGAUAAGCGAGAAAAUAAAGAAGAGUACAGAAGUUAGUAGGGAAAAAUUUCAGUAUGUCAUCAAAAAAGAGAAUAAAUUUACAUACUAAAUUACAAAAUGUGCUAUCGAAAUCUUGUAGAGCAAUGAAAUCAAUGAUAGUAGAGAGUAAACAACUUCGAUUCAUUUUGGCAAAUAAAAAGAGCAAAGCAACAAAAAAGAUUGAAAAUAGCAGCUUUAGCAGACGUGGAUGAUCCAAUAUAUAAUUGGACGAAGGAAGAUUUCAUUAUCAAUUCUCUUUAUAAUGAUAGCGCUUUAAAUCAGAGUAAUCUUUUGAAAAUCCAAAUAACCCAUCCUUCUGCUUGGUGAAUAGACGAAAAGGAGAUAUCAAACUGCCUACAACAUAUGGUAAUCGAUCUUGUAGAGACAUCUACGUCAUAAUCUCAAACUUUGAAAUCUGUAUCGCCAAUAAACUAAAUCAAAGAAGAAUGAAAUCCUUUUGAAUCUUAGUUUGUUGAUCAUUCAAGCUUCUUGAUAUUUCAACUAUCAUUACGACAACAUGCACAGAUAAAACAGGAAAUAAAAAACAUAGAAAUGAAUACCGAAAUGGGAUAUCAAGAGAUUGAUAAAAGUUUACUUGAAAAGAAAUUGGAGGAGAGAAAGUGGGUAGAUCUUCUUAAUGGUGGCAAGCCGCCUGUCUGAUUCUAUUUUUUGACCAAUUUGAUUCAUUUGUUACCUGAUUCUGGACAUGUAUGUGCUCGACAAAUUGAGCCUACUAAUGUGUUCAGUUGUAGAAUACCUAGAAAAAGUGGAAAAGUUAAUCUGGGCCUAUUAUCAAAAGCAUUGGUGGAUCAGAUGUAAAUUGGAUACAUCUAAAAAAUUAUCCAAUAUAAUAGAGAAACUACCAGAUACCCAUCGGUGCAUUAAAAGAAGUGAAAGAACAGAGAAAAAUUCACCACAAUUAAAUAGAAUAAAACACACACCAAAGACAACUUGGAACUCAGAUUGAGAAAUGUAAAAUAAAAAAUAAAAUAAAAACUAAACUACAGAUGCAUGUGCGUGCAAAAUUUUCCUUAAAAAAGGUAAGAUGGAAAAUAAAAUUCAAAUGGAGCUAAGCAGAAUGAGCAGAGCAGUAAAAGAAACACGGAACAGCAACCAAACCAAAGUAUAACCAGAACAAACAGGAGAAAUGAUCAAUUCACAAAAUAAAGUAGAAACAGAGCGAUAUAAUAGCAAGUAAGCAACUUGUAUCCGUUUAUGGCAAAUUAAGUUCACCAAAGCAAAGAGACGACACUUUGGAGUGAACGGCAGAAGAAAUUUGAGACAAUUGGAAAAGAGAACAUAAAAUCAAGAAUUAGUCCUUGAAAUCUCUAUACAUAAAGUUAGUACAUCGUGGUUUGCCCUUAUAAACAAUAGUACACGCCCUAAAAGACACGAAGAUAAAAUGAUCAAAUUAACCUAGAAAAGGCUCAGAAUCUCCAUAGUACCUUCUUCAGCAGAAUCGGUUUCGAGACAUCUCAGAGAAUCCAGUCAUUUGAAGCACUGCUAGAAAAAUU